RNAcentral lists this ribosomal RNA (555 nucleotides) under uncultured bacterium. Its description in RNAcentral is "partial 16S ribosomal RNA". It matches the Rfam family "Bacterial small subunit ribosomal RNA", at positions 355 to 901 of the family's 1533-position model. The record is from RNAcentral.
UGGGGAAUAUUGCACAAUGGGCGCAAGCCUGAUGCAGCCAUGCCGCGUGUGUGAAGAAGGCCUUCGGGUUGUAAAGCACUUUCAGCGAGGAGGAAGGUGGUGAGCUUAAUACGCUCAUCAAUUGACGUUACUCGCAGAAGAAGCACCGGCUAACUCCGUGCCAGCAGCCGCGGUAAUACGGAGGGUGCAAGCGUUAAUCGGAAUUACUGGGCGUAAAGCGCACGCAGGCGGUUUGUUAAGUCAGAUGUGAAAUCCCCGGGCUCAACCUGGGAACUGCAUUUGAAACUGGCAAGCUAGAGUCUCGUAGAGGGGGGUAGAAUUCCAGGUGUAGCGGUGAAAUGCGUAGAGAUCUGGAGGAAUACCGGUGGCGAAGGCGGCCCCCUGGACGAAGACUGACGCUCAGGUGCGAAAGCGUGGGGCAGCAAACAGGAUUAGAUACCCUGGUAGUCCACGCUGUAAACGAUGUCGAUUUGGAGGUUGUGCCCUUGAGGCGUGGCUUCCGGAGCUAACGCGUUAAAUCGACCGCCUGGGGAGUACGGCCGCAAGGUUAAAACU